Molecule: ribosomal RNA, 462 nt
Filed under: uncultured bacterium
Lineage: Bacteria
Description: partial 16S ribosomal RNA
Rfam family: Bacterial small subunit ribosomal RNA
Source: RNAcentral
GAUGAACGCUGACAGAAUGCUUAACACAUGCAAGUCUUUGGCGAAGCUGUGCUUGCACAGCCUAGCCAAGGCGGACGGGUGAGUAACGCGUAAGGAACUUGCCCUGCAGUCAGGGAUAACAGACGGAAACGACUGAUAAGACCUGGUAAAGUCAGGCGGACUCAUGUCCAGCCUGAUGAAAAGAGAUGCUGCAGGAGAGCCUUGCGUCCUAUUAGCUUGUUGGUGGGGUAACGGCCCACCAAGGCGAUGAUAGGUAGCCGGCCUGAGAGGGGGGACGGCCACAAGGGGACUGAGAUACGGCCCUUACUCCUACGGGAGGCAGCAGUGGGGAAUAUUGGACAAUGGGGGCAACCCUGAUCCAGCAAUUCUGUGUGCACGAUGAAGGUUUUCGGAUUGUAAAGUGCUUUCAGCAGGGAAGAAAAAAUGACGGUACCUGCAGAAGAAGCGACGGCUAAAUACGUG